AGAACUUUGCGGAAGAAGGGCACUUUCGAUGCGGCAACCGUGAGUUUCCGAAUAGAAAGGAACCAUAGGCCUACAUUGAAGCCCUCUGCUUGCCCCUCCAUUUUCAAUUUCGAGGGUUAUGGUGUAUGGGUUACCGACCGACCAUCAACAACAUCUCUGACUUCAGAGUCAAGCAAAAGCCGGACUGAACGGAGGAGCGACACUAGUCAGUGGAGCCUGAGGAUGAUAUCUUCAUCACUGAAAAGGUUUUCAUCCUGGAGGAGACCGUGCAGGAGGAGGCAGAGGAGGAAAGAAUGGUUAGUACAGCCAAACUGACCCCUGGCUGCCAGACUGUUCCUGUGCUGCGGUGGAGAAGACGUCCACCAGGACCAUCAUUAAAGAGCUCAGGGCCCAGCUAGAUUACGCUCACGACCAUCAGUAUACAACCCAGUCCUGCCCCUAUAUGCCACAGAUGGAGCUGACGGAGAGUGAGAGUGAGAUCAGUGAAGACCAAACGCGCUGUAUGAACCUGAGAGCUCAGAAUAACAAUCAUCACAGUCCGAGCCAAGAUGUACUAUCGAAGAAUGUGUGCAAAAUCCAAAAUACAUAGUCUUUGAUAGCAAACUGAAGGAGUUGUUCAAUGUCUGCCAUGAGCCAGGAUGUUGAGCAGGUGUCAUCAGUUCAACCCUGAAAAGAAAUGGUUUUGCCAUCACCAUGGAGACAGAGUGUGUUGUGGGCCACAUGAGGAAUUAGGAGUCCCAGACCAGAGAGGGAAAGUUGUUUGCCGGGAAGAUGGCGCCAAAAGAUGGCGCUAAAGAAAAUGGCUGACGUUUUACAUUCACCCAACCAAUUGCGCUAUUUUGCUGUUGUUUUUUUGUGUAACUUAUUUUUUUACUUGUGUACAUAAUGUUUCUGUUACCGUCUCUUAUGACCG
This 913-nucleotide long non-coding RNA is filed under the name Salmo salar (Atlantic salmon). Its description in RNAcentral is "lncRNA (ENSSSAG00000113406.1)". Lineage: Eukaryota; Metazoa; Chordata; Actinopteri; Salmoniformes; Salmonidae. The record is from RNAcentral.